ACGUGAUCUGAGUUCAGACCGGAGUAAUCCAGGUCAGUUUCUAUCUAUAAAGGGCUUUUUCUAGUACGAAAGGACCGAAAAAGCAUGGCCAAUGACCAAUUAAGCCAUAUAAAUUACUUAUGACCUCAACUAAAUCAGAAAUAAACCUAACACUUAACUCAAAAAAAGAGUG
RNAcentral lists this ribosomal RNA (172 nucleotides) under Boana heilprini (Los Bracitos treefrog). Its description in RNAcentral is "Hypsiboas heilprini (Los Bracitos treefrog) partial 16S ribosomal RNA". Lineage: Eukaryota; Metazoa; Chordata; Amphibia; Anura; Hylidae. The record is from RNAcentral.